NNACGCACUCCUGGAGGGAGCAGUUCCUCGAGGCCAUCACCGUCAGCGCCGGUGCGUCACCGCGUCACCUCACACCCCGCCAUGGGGGGACACACAAUGUGGGGACACCCCAACGUGGGGACAACCCAAUGUGGGGACACCCAACCAUGGGGACACCCCAACAUGGGGACACCCCAACGUGGGGACACCCAACCAUGGGACACCAAAUAUAGGGACACAUCACCAUUGGGACACCCAACAUGGGGACACUCAGCAUGGGGACAUCCCAACGUGGGGACACCCCAACGUGGGGACACCCCAACCAUGGGGACACCCCAACCAUGGGGACACUCAACCAUGGGGACACCCCAACAUGGGGACACCCAACGUGGGGACACCCAACCAUGGGACACCCAAGAUGGGGACACUCAACAUGGGGACACCCAACAUGGGGACACCCCAACCAUGGGGACACCCAACCAUGGGGACACCCCAAUAUGGGGACACCCAACAUGGGGACACUCAACAUGGGGACACAUCACCAUGGGGACACUCCAACGUGGGGACACCCAACGUGGGGACACCCAACCAUGGGACACCAAAUAUAGGGACACAUCACCAUUGGGACACCCAACAUGGGGACACUCAACAUGGGGACACCCAACGUGGGGACGCCCAACAUGGGGACACCCAACCAUGGGGACACCCCAAUAUGGGGACACCCUACUAUGGGGACACCCAACCAUGGGGACACCCCAGUAUGGGGACACCCCAAUAUGGGGGCACAUCACCAUGGGGACACCCCAACGUGGGGACACCCAACAUGGGGACACUCAACAUGGGGACACCACAAUAUGGGGACACCCAACAUGGGGACACCCCAACGUGGGGACACCCAACCAUGGGGACACCCAACGUGGGGACACCCAACAUGGGGACACCCAACAUGGGGACACAUCACCAUGGGGACACCCCAACAUGGGGACACCCGACAUGGGGACAGCCAACCAUGGGGACACUCAACCAUGGGGACACCCCAAUAUGGGGACACCCCAACAUGGGGACA
Molecule: long non-coding RNA, 1045 nt
Filed under: Numida meleagris (helmeted guineafowl)
Lineage: Eukaryota; Metazoa; Chordata; Aves; Galliformes; Numididae
Description: lncRNA (ENSNMEG00000002373.1)
Source: RNAcentral